Molecule: non-coding RNA, 276 nt
Organism: Nomascus leucogenys (northern white-cheeked gibbon)
Lineage: Eukaryota; Metazoa; Chordata; Mammalia; Primates; Hylobatidae
Source: Rfam
GCUGGGUGCAGUGGCGGGUGCCUGUAAUCCCAGCUACUCGGGAGGCUGAGGCAGAAGAAUCGCUUGAACCCGGGAGGCAGAGGUUGCAGUGAGGCAAAAUCGUGACACUGCACUCCAGCCUGGGCGACAGAGGGAUUCUGUCUUUAAAAAAAAGAAAAAUUGGGGGUUGAGGGAACAAGGUCUUGCUUGCUCUGUUAUCCAGGCUGGAGUGCAGUGGUGCCAUCACAGCUCACUGCAGCCUCCACCUCCUGGGCUCAAGUGAUCCUCCUGCCUCUC